RNAcentral lists this ribosomal RNA (479 nucleotides) under uncultured bacterium. RNAcentral describes it as "partial 16S ribosomal RNA". It matches the Rfam family "Bacterial small subunit ribosomal RNA", at positions 28 to 507 of the family's 1533-position model. The record is from RNAcentral.
GAUGAACGCUAGCGGGAGGCCUAACACAUGCAAGCCGAGCGGUAGAGAUCUUUCGGGAUCUUGAGAGCGGCGUACGGGUGCGGAACACGUGUGCAACCUGCCUUUAUCAGGGGGAUAGCCUUUCGAAAGGAAGAUUAAUACCCCAUAAUAUAUUGAAUGGCAUCAUUUGAUAUUGAAAACUCCGGUGGAUAGAGAUGGGCACGCGCAAGAUUAGCUAGUUGGUAGGGUAACGGCCUACCAAGUCAGUGAUCUUUAGGGGGCCUGAGAGGGUGAUCCCCCACACGAGAGCAGGGACACAGACCAGAGGACUGCGGGAGGCAGCAGAGAGGUAUGGGAGGCAGUAGGUGGGAACAUGAGACAGCCGGCGCAAGUGAAAGACAGCGGCCCUGUGGGAGGGAAGAUGGUUUUAUAGAGGGAAAGACCUUUCAACGUGGAGAAAGAUGAAGGUACUGUACGAAUAAGCACCGGCUAACUCCGUG